UCACCUCUCAGCUUGUGAAAUGCCUCGGGGUGAGCUAAAAGAAGUCGCAUCGCCCACUGGAUGGUCAUCGAUGUGGUCUCCGUUCCCCCAGAAAACAAACUCUGGCACAACAUAAAUGAGGUGUUAAUUGUUUUUUUUUUUUUUCCAGUAAACUGGAACAGUAAGAGGGAUACUUUUGCUUAUACUAAAAACUAUAUAUAAUCCAAACUAAAAACAAAAUUUUCGCCAUAGUUGAGGGAACAUACCAGUAGAACUCCUUUAAUGAGAUCAUCCGUGUAGAAUUCGGGUUCUGAUUCUUGUAGAGAAAAUAGAGUUUCAACCAGUGUGUCCCGGUUUCUAUUAGUACUAAUAUUCCCUUUCUUCUGUCGAAAUUCACCUAGUAAGCUGUUUAAGAAUUCGUUUCUCUUCUUGUGAGCUGAGUCCAUACUUUUCUCAAUCCCUUUGUACCCAAACCAUUUCAAUAUUGGCAAGAAAUCACACGCGUUCAAAAUCAACAUGGCCGCGAAGAUAACUGUCCUUAUUUCUUCAAUGAUUUGUUUACCCUUCUCUGUUCCAAUGUCUUCCUCAUUUACGCAACGUUCCCCAGUAAUAAUUCUCAUCAUAACAUUGAAUACAUAAGUAUUUGCCCAACUACCCAAGUAAACUUUUGCUCCACUACUGCCAUUUGCUUUACUUUCCUUAAACAACCCGCGAAUAACAAUUCCAAUUUCUUCAAUCCGCAGAGCAGAAGACUUCUGCAAGCUAUUGGAAGAGACUAUCUCAUUUACAGUUAGUCGGCGGAGUACCCUCCAGAGAUAGCCGUAAUUAGCCCAAAUCGAGACCUUAUAGUUGAACGAAAACUUAUCUCCAGCCAUAGUAGGAGG
Molecule: long non-coding RNA, 863 nt
Filed under: Capsicum annuum
Lineage: Eukaryota; Viridiplantae; Streptophyta; Magnoliopsida; Solanales; Solanaceae
Description: long non-coding RNA (CANN_LNC006154)
Source: RNAcentral